AUUAUAGGAUUAUUAUAUGUUUAUUUUUAAGUUUUAUUGACUAAAGUAAUAUUUAGUUUCAUUAGAAUAUACGUAAAAAUUAUUUUUAUUAUAGUUUAUUUUACUGAGGAGGUUAUGUUUUAAUUUGAUAAAAGAAGAGUUGAUUUUUUGUACCUUGUGUAUCAGGGUAAAUUCAAAAAGAGGUUUUGAUAAAAGGUUCUCGAAUUUAAUGGAGCUAACUUAAUAUUAUUGUUUUUGUAUCAAAAAAAUAUUAAAUGUUUAGUUAGUAAUGAAAUGUUAGUCGUCUUUAAGGUUAUCUAGUUUUCUAGGAAAAAAAUUAAAUUUUAUUAUAAUUAAACAAAAUUUCUGAUGUUAGGUAGGUGUUGUUAAUUGUAGCAAGUAGAUUCAGGGAUGAGCUUGAUUCUAAAUUUAUAUAUAUUUAUAAGGGUUUUAUAUUGGUAGAAUUAGAAGUUUUAACUAAAGGUGUUAUAACUGUUUUAAAAGUUGAGUUUAAUUUUUAUUUUUAUUAUAUUUUUACUAGAGUAUUGAUUAAAAUAUUAUUUAUUAAGUAAAAAUGAUUUAAUUAGUAAAAUUAUAUGUGAAGUAGUGUUUUUAAGUUAGGUUAUUACAAGGAAUUCGGCAAAUUUGGUUUUCACCUGUUUAUUAAAAACAUGUCUUUUUGGUUGUUAUCUGAAGUCAAACCUGCCCAAUGAGGUUUUAAAUGGCUGCGGUAUUUUGACCGUACAAAGGUAGCAUAAUCAGUAGUUUCUUAAUUGGAAUCUGGAAUGAAGGGUUAGUUGAAAAACUUGCUGUCUCUUUUUGAAUGUUUUGAAUUUUAUUUUUGAGUUAAAAAGCUUAAAUGUUUAUAAAAGACGAGAAGACCCUAUAGAGUUUUAUAAAAUUAGGAUGUGUAAUUUUAGUAUUUUUCUUAUUUGUUUUUAAUUUUAUUUAGUUGGGGUGAUUGAAAAAUUUAUUUAACUUUUUUUUUAAUUAUACCAAUUAUAAUUGACUAUAAGAUCCUUUUAGAUUUAAAGAAAAAAUUACCUUAGGGAUAACAGCGUUAUUUUUAUUUAGAGUUCUAAUCGAAAUAAAAGUUUGCGACCUCGAUGUUGGAUUAAAAUUUAUUUUAGGCGUAGCAGUUUAGUGAUUAGGUCUGUUCGACCUUUAAAAUUUUACAUGAUCUGAGUUUAAACCGGUGUGAGCCAGGUUGGUUUCUAUCUUUAUAAAUAUAUAAUAGGUUAGUACGAAAGGACCAUUUAUU
RNAcentral lists this ribosomal RNA (1240 nucleotides) under Trypophloeus asperatus. RNAcentral's name for it is "16S ribosomal RNA". The stretch from base 1030 to 1188 matches the Rfam family "Archaeal large subunit ribosomal RNA", at positions 2542 to 2701 of the family's 2987-position model. The record is from RNAcentral. Lineage: Eukaryota; Metazoa; Arthropoda; Insecta; Coleoptera; Curculionidae.